Pongo pygmaeus (Bornean orangutan) is the source of this 5159-nucleotide long non-coding RNA. RefSeq lists it as uncharacterized. Lineage: Eukaryota; Metazoa; Chordata; Mammalia; Primates; Hominidae. The transcript has 4 exons. The record is from RefSeq and is a predicted model, not a curated record.
CGCGGGCAGGGCUGGGCAAGGCAGGAGGAGCGCGGACCCAAGAUCGGCUACGCUGUGUCUGCUCAGGCUGCGAGUUCCCGGCUCUGGGGACUCACCUUGCGGAGCUCACCCAGGCGGACUCUCCGCAGCCCCGGAUGGGUGUGUCAGACCGUUUACUAAACACCGGGACUGUUGUAGGCGACUAUGUGGGGAAUCCGAAAUUUCUAGCUUUUACUGGGACACACAGCUAGCAAGCAACUAAAGCAAGAAUUCCAACCUGAGCUCCAAUCCGAACUAUUUUCAUAAAAGGCAGGAUCCCAGGCUGAGGGAGUUCGAGGUUUGGGAGACACUUUAGCAGUCGCUGAGUCCAAACAUGUUGUUUUCCUAGAAAAGGAAACAGAUCCAGGAAAGGGAAGUUAUUUUCCAAAGACACACCUGUGAAAGGUGAGGAGAACAGCCCAGUGAGGCUGAGGCCACACAAUUAGCCCCAGUCUUUGCACUGCAACUCUACCAGGGAUCCUGGUUUGGCUCAUUUUCUUUCUUCUCCACCAUGAUUGUUCACCUUUUCAUUACCAGCAACAUACCCAAAGACCUAGCUAUAGACUCGUUGGAAUCUGUUACUUAGCAGCUGUGUGAAUCAAGUGUUCAAUAGGAAUAAUGAUAUUAAGAUCUAUUCAUCUUACCUUUUCAGAACAUUAUGAAGAACAAAUGUGGUAAGACAUAUGAGAAUGCUUUGUAAAGUGUUAGAUGCUUAAUACACAGAAGACAUUGCUUCCAGAUCUGCUUCAAUGUACCCUAAGAAUGGAAUAAGUGGAAUAUGCUGGUUUCAUGCACUGUGGCAAAGGGGUCUCAUCUUGGCUAGACUUGAAUAAGUGGAUUUGUUGCCUGGCCUCUGUGGAUGGCUCUUUCUCUAGGCUUUUGUGUAUUUGAUUUUUUAUUUGCUCCAGCAACCAUGUUGAACCAUGAAAGGACCUCAGGAAUGAAACCCACACACAGCAAAGCAACAAAGUGAAAGUGGCGUGGAUUCCUAAUGCAGGAGGCACUGAACCAAUCAAUACCCACUGCCCUCCAGACCUCCACAUGAAAGAAAAAAACUGCUGUCCUGUGAAGAAGACACUCCCCAGAUGCCAGCAACUUGAUAUUGGACUUCCCAGCCUUUAGAACGGUGAGAAAUAAAUUUUUUUUUCUUUAUAAGUUACCCAGCCUCUGGCAUUCUGUUAUAGCAGCACAGAACAGACUAAGACAGCCACUGAAACCAGAUCUAUGUCCCGGACCACCCCCAUUUGCCUCAAUUUCUCUCUAUAUAUAAUAAGAACAAAUAAUGCAAAUGCUAUCUAUACUUCCCCGUGACUACAGGGAGACCAAGAAGGGAUGAAAUAUACAAUCACACUUUGAAAAUAUUUAAAUGUUAUCCAACCAUACAUCCAUUGUUUCACAUCAGGCUGGGCCACAUAGCUUCCUCUGUACCCUUUAGUUUCCUGCCCUUAUCUCUAUCACAGGCCAUAUAUCAAAUGCCUAGUAAUUAUCAGUGCAUCUAUAUAUUCCCUAUUCUCCUCCCCAACAAUACAUAAAAGGUUAUUGCAUUGCAUUGAAUUAUAAGACUCGAUUACUGGAAAGUCUAGACAUCACUCAGGGUCAUUGUGGGCCAGCAUGGGGAUUAUGCAGUGUCAUUAUCCACUAAGCACACUGGAGGUCACACCAGUGAAGUAGCAUGUCAGAUGUAAGCAAGACAGAGCUGGGUUGUGAAACUCUGGAACCAGCUGAGCUGAAAGUUUGUGUAAUUUCCUUCCUGCUCAGAGAUGGUUCCAUAUAGUAGACAAAGAGGAGACAUGGUGCUUCUCUGGUAACCUGUGGAGGCCCUGUAAUGCUCUAACUGCAUUCUGUGAAAGCUUUUCCUGCAUUAGCAACCUGCCCAUUACCAGAGAAAAGAGAUAUUUUCCCUAAGAUUCUUAGAAUCAUAGCACAGAAAUAGAUCUUAUUAUUCACUUAUUCAUUCCUACAUUUAUGCAUUCAUUCAACAAAGAUUUAUUGAGUACUGUUCUAGGCAUUAAAGAGAUAGUGUUGAGAUGAACAGACAUUUUCCUUGUCCUCAUGAAACUUACAGUCAGGAAGCAGACAUUAAAGAAAUAAGCACACAAAUAUGUAGUUGAUUCAAGUGCAAGUAGAAAGGAAAACAGAAAACUGUAAGAGAGGGAAGCUGAUUUUGAUUGAAGUUUAAUUUAGAGUGGUGAUUUUGAAGAGGCAGAUAACAUUAUGCACAUUGUCUGUGGUCUCAACAACUCUAUGAAGUGCCUAUUACAACUAUUGUACAGAUAGGGAAACCGAGGUUUAUGGAAAUUGGGUGACUGGGCUAGGGAAGCACUACUAGUAAGUUUGGAGCAGGUUGUGCUCUCCCUGGUACUCCAUGCUGCAUAACAGAAACCCAGAAGGUGAAAAUUUUCCCACUUCCCACCUUUGCACAUACCAUGCCUACUUCCACCUAAAAUGCCUCUCCCUUCAUUCUUAUUGGAUUCAUAUUCUGCCCUCAGUAUCUAGUUGAGGAUGUACCUCCUCUGUAAGGUACCUCCUUCUAUCUCAAUAAAUCUCUUUUCUUGUAGGAUUCCUGCAACAAUCAUCAAAUAUUACUUACAUGGCCUUGAACCUAGGAUAGCUUGUCAAGUUAAUUCUUUUUUUCACAUGCUUGCCCUGAUGCUCUUAGUCAGAGGCCUACAGACAGUACAAUGCCAUUAGAGCCAGACAGACUUGGGCAUUAUCCCAGUUCUACAGACUGUUUGAUGGAUGAGCUGAAGAAAGUUUCUUAAUCUCUCUGAACCUUAGAUUCUCCUUGGAGAAUGAUUAUAUCUUACAAAAUACCUUUAAGCAUUUGUCACAGUACUCAACAGACAGAUAAUGUUUGAUACCCCUUCUAACCAAUUCCAUUUUCUAGAUUGGAAGCCUCUCGAGGGCAAAAACCUGGAAUUCUACUUCACAAUCUCAGCAACUAGCAUAGGGCUCUAUAAUAGCAGGUGAUUAAUACCUGGUAUAUAAUUAUGGUGAUGACAGCCCUUACCUGCCUACUGCAUCUCUCAUUACUAAUCAGAUUUGUUUUCUCCUAUCUUUCUUCCUUUCUUUCUUUCACCAUUUAGAUUCCUUUAAGCCUCUCUAAAACUUGACCCUCUGGCAUGAACAGGUGUCAUUACAUACACACACUCUCUCUCUUCCCAAUUCGCCCCAUCAUAUCAAAGGGAAAACUGAAAUGGUCCACUGUAGACCUGGCAGAUGAUCGCAAACAGGAAACCAGUAAUCAGAAGUGCCUACUGAGCUCCCCACCCUGACCAUCACCUACAGCUACAUUUUACAGAUACAAAGUCAUUGUUUGUUCAACUUUCAUAUCAAAGGAUGCUAUUAGUUCAUUUCCAAAGGUGGGAAAAUGUUUCAACUUACUUUAUUACUUGCCUGCUACUUACUAUUUUCCCUCCAUUUGCCUGCCUGACUUCUUUUAACUCUUCACUCAACAAAUAUCUACUGACUACUGAGCACUCGCCAAGUGCUAGGCCAGAGCUGGAUGCUGUACUACCGGCAGAUGAAGUGCUAUGGGCAUCCAGAGGUGGAAGAAGAGGGUAUAGCGAAAGGGGAGAAAAGGCUGCAACAAUAUUCACUGAGCCCUGUGCUCCCAGAUCAUCACAUAGACUAUGUCAUUAUUCCUUCUAACCACCCACAUGAGUAAAUAGGGGCUAUUACUGCAGAAACAGAGGCUUACAAAGGUUGAGCAACUUGCCCAAGGUCAUCUAUCACAAGACACUACAAGUCAGACUGCUGAAGAGGGAGUUUCUGCUGAGAAGCUGAAGUGGGCAGCUCAUAUUGGAUAUGAAGGCUUCAAAGGAAUCUAAGUCCUAAUGAUCCCGCUAGAACCAACGUGCAGCACCAGUUUUCUCUUCCACAUUUGAACUGCUCAACCACUCCCGGUUCCAAGACCUCACUCUCCAUCUAAACUAGUCCCACACCAUCCAUAUCUUUCUCCACUAACGCCACCCGAUCACAAUCCCACAGCCUCUUAGUCAUGAGUCAUUUUUUACAAACUGCAAACCAUGUAAUGAGCCAUGGCAAUAUGCAACCCUAAACCUCAACACGUGUUUUCCACAACAAGGCAACAGGUGGCAGAAGCGAGCCUAAGGCCAUAGGAUACUAAGGCAGGACUCUCUGGCUUGAGCUUUCCAAAAAGGGAGGUGAGAGAAGGUCUACCUGCGGGAAGGCAUGCUGAAGGCCUGAGGCUGGGUCAGAGAAGCAGCCCCCUGGAGGCUCUGCAGUGCCUGGACUUCAGGUAGAGGAACUCUGCCAUGAAUGCCUCUGGAAUUGUGUCAUUUUGGGACAAUUAGAGAAUAUCGGUUUUCAGACUGAGUUCUAUGGGAAGGUGCCUGCACAACAAAGGAGAGACUGAAUGGACUUCAGGUCUUCCAAAAUACCCCUCAUUCUCACCAAGUUGCUCUCUGCUCUAAGAUACCAGAUGAGGGGGCCAAUGGGGACUGAAACCCAGUCCCCACUCUGCUGGCCAAUCCCUGUGCCUCUGAGGCUGCUCUGUCCUACCAGAGAGGGCAACUUUUCCUAAUUUGCACCAAGUACAGAAUAGGAUAGUGUAGCUUUACCCUUCUCCCUAUCAUCAACCACAGACACAUCGACACAUGCACACAUACAGCUACACAAAUAUACCUACGGGCAUACACAUACAACACAGGCACAUACAUGUUUGCACAAAGGCACAUGUAGACACAAACACAGAGCACACAGACACAAACACAGGCACAAACCCAUACUUACACUACACACACACACAAACACACAGACACACAAAUGCAAAUUAAGCCACAAUGUAGCACAUAGAGAUAUAGACACAGACGCAAAUACAGUCACAUAGAGAUAUAGACACACACUCAUACACACAUAUAUGUAAAUAUACACACAGUCUCAUUCACUUUAUACCACACAUGUAUAAACAUACACAAUCGUAUGUAGACAUACACAUAGGCACUCAGACCACAUAGAUACAUAUGUACACACGUACAAACAUAUGCACAUACACAGAUAUAUAUAUACACACAUACAUCUUUAACCAGAACAACUUUACUUUUGUCAGUUUUAUAUGACAGAGUCUGUAAAAAAAGAUUUCAUCUAGCUUGUGUUCUACUAUUAAAAGAGAAAAUGAA